Molecule: ribosomal RNA, 253 nt
Filed under: uncultured bacterium
Lineage: Bacteria
Description: partial 16S ribosomal RNA
Rfam family: Bacterial small subunit ribosomal RNA
Source: RNAcentral
UACGGGGGGGGUAAGCGUUGUUCGGAAUUACUGGGCGUAAAGGGCUCGUAGGCGGCCAACUAAGUCAUACGUGAAAUCCCUCAGCUUAACUGGGGAACUGCGUGUGAUACUGGACGGCUCGGAUUUGGGAGAGGGAUGCGGAAUUCCAGGUGUAGCGGUGAAAUGCGUAGAUAUCUGGAGGAACACCGGUGGCGAAGGCGGCAUCCUGGACCAAUAUUGACGCUGAGGAGCGAAAGCCAGGGGAGCAAACGGG